Molecule: ribosomal RNA, 253 nt
Filed under: uncultured bacterium
Lineage: Bacteria
Description: partial 16S ribosomal RNA
Rfam family: Bacterial small subunit ribosomal RNA
Source: RNAcentral
UACGUAGGGUGCGAGCGUUAAUCGGAAUUACUGGGCGUAAAGUGUGCGCAGGUGGCCGCGCAAGUCGAGUGUGAAAUCCCCGAGCUUAACUUGGGAAUUGCGCUCGAAACUACGUGGCUCGAGUGUGGCGGAGGAAGGUGGAAUUCCACGUGUAGCGGUGAAAUGCGUAGAGAUGUGGAGGAACACCGAUGGCGAAGGCAGCCUUCUGGGCCAACACUGACGCUCAUGCACGAAAGCGUGGGGAGCGAACAGG